UCGCGGAGAGAUGAUGUUUAGGUCCGGGACUGUCAGUCAGUGCGCGGCCAGGUACGGGCCCGGGGUCCGCGGGGCCGGUGCCGCCAUGGCGGCCGUGUUUGAUUUGGAUUUGGAGACGGAGGAAGGCAGCGAGGGCGAGGGCGAGCCAGAGCUCAGCCCCGCGGCCUGUGGGACACUAUGAAGAGGUGGAGCUGACUGAGACCAGCGUGAACCUUGGCCCAGAGCGCAUCGGGCCCCACUGCUUUGAGCUGCUGCGUGUGCUGGGCAAGGGGGGCUAUGGCAAGGUGUUCCAGGUGCGAAAGGUGCAAGGCACCAACUUGGGCAAAAUAUAUGCCAUGAAAGUCCUAAGGAAGGCCAAAAUUGUGCGCAACGCCAAGGACACAGCACACACACGGGCUGAGCGGAACAUUCUAGAGUCAGUGAAGCACCCCUUUAUUGUGGAACUGGCCUAUGCCUUCCAGACUGGUGGCAAACUCUACCUCAUCCUUGAGUGCCUCAGUGGUAUGAGUGUGGGCCCAGGCAGGGGUGUUGGGGGUCGGGGGGCAGGGAGCCAGCAAAGGAAGCU
Molecule: small RNA, 565 nt
Filed under: Pongo abelii (Sumatran orangutan)
Lineage: Eukaryota; Metazoa; Chordata; Mammalia; Primates; Hominidae
Description: retained intron
Source: RNAcentral